RNAcentral lists this ribosomal RNA (483 nucleotides) under uncultured bacterium. RNAcentral's name for it is "bacterial SSU rRNA". It matches the Rfam family "Bacterial small subunit ribosomal RNA", at positions 893 to 1375 of the family's 1533-position model. The record is from RNAcentral.
AUUAAAACUCAAAGGAAUUGACGGGGACCCGCACAAGCGGUGGAUGAUGUGGAUUAAUUCGAUGCAACGCGAAAAACCUUACCUACCCUUGACAUGUCAGGAAGUCCGCUGAGAGGUGGAUGUGCCCGAAAGGGAACCUGAACACAGGUGCUGCAUGGCUGUCGUCAGCUCGUGUCGUGAGAUGUUGGGUUAAGUCCCGCAACGAGCGCAACCCUUGUCAUUAAUUGCCAUCAUUCAGUUGGGCACUUUAAUGAGACUGCCGGUGACAAACCGGAGGAAGGUGGGGAUGACGUCAAGUCCUCAUGGCCCUUAUGGGUAGGGCUUCACACGUCAUACAAUGGUCGGUACAGAGGGUCGCCAACCCGCGAGGGGGAGCCAAUCCCACAAAGCCGAUCGUAGUCCGGAUCGCAGUCUGCAACUCGACUGCGUGAAGUCGGAAUCGCUAGUAAUCGUGGAUCAGCAUGUCACGGUGAAUACGUUCCC